Molecule: small nuclear RNA, 152 nt
Filed under: Carlito syrichta (Philippine tarsier)
Lineage: Eukaryota; Metazoa; Chordata; Mammalia; Primates; Tarsiidae
Description: U1 spliceosomal RNA (ENSTSYG00000019764.2)
Rfam family: U1 spliceosomal RNA
About the family: U1 is a small nuclear RNA (snRNA) component of the spliceosome (involved in pre-mRNA splicing). Its 5' end forms complementary base pairs with the 5' splice junction, thus defining the 5' donor site of an intron.
Source: Rfam by way of RNAcentral
AUACUUACCUGGCAGGAGAGAUACUAUAGUCACAAAGGUGGUUUUCCCAGGGCGAGGCUCACCCAUUGCACUCCGGAUAUGCCCACCCCAAACGUGGGAACCUCAACUGCAUAAUUUGUGGUGGUGGGGGACUGAGUUUGUGCUCUCCCCUA